UACGGGGGGGGCAAGCGUCGUUCGGAAUUACUGGGCGUAAAGGGUUCGUAGGUGGCCAACUAAGUCAGACGUGAAAUCCCUCGGCUCAACCGGGGAACUGCGUCUGAUACUGGUUGGCUUGAGUGCAGGAGAGGAACGCGGAAUUCCAGGUGUAGCGGUGAAAUGCGUAGAUAUCUGGAGGAACACCGGUGGCGAAGGCGGCGUUCUGGACUGCAACUGACACUGAGGAACGAAAGCCAGGGGAGCAAACGGG
RNAcentral lists this ribosomal RNA (253 nucleotides) under uncultured bacterium. RNAcentral describes it as "partial 16S ribosomal RNA". It matches the Rfam family "Bacterial small subunit ribosomal RNA", at positions 524 to 776 of the family's 1533-position model. The record is from RNAcentral.